RNAcentral lists this long non-coding RNA (658 nucleotides) under Olea europaea subsp. europaea. Lineage: Eukaryota; Viridiplantae; Streptophyta; Magnoliopsida; Lamiales; Oleaceae. The record is from RNAcentral.
UUCAUUUCGUAGGGAGGAAUACGUGGAGUAGCUACAAGUUGGCCACGUGGAAGAGUCAUUUUUAGAGGUCAACAAUAAUAUUUGCACGUAAUUGAUUAUGCACUUUUUAUUUCAGACACCGGUGGAUAUGGUGGUUGUGGCAGUUUUUGUUGAAUUUGGAGGCGAUGGUCUUGGUCAUGGUGUUGGCGUCAGUGGCGAUGCUGUUAGGUUAUAUUGGUGGUUGGGUGGUGCAGUGCCAAUGGUUCCGUUGCUGGUGGUUAUGGCUAUGUGGUGUACAUUUAGUUGCCGGUGUUGAGAAUGGUGGUAAGUGAUCAAAUCUAUCUUCAUUAUAACUUUCUAUGACUAGAUUUGUGUUAACCGUGACAGUAUUUGACUUGGUUACAUAUAGUUACAAAUUGGAUCAACAUGGUAACAUACAAUCACAUUGAAAACAAAUUUUGUCAUCAACACAUAAGAUCACAGUUCAUACAUUACGGAUUACAGGUUUGAGUUCACAGGUAACUGUCACUUUAAGUCACAAAUCAAUAUAAACGGGUCACAGAUCAAUAUUAAAAAGUCACAUCUCGUCUUGUAGAAGUUACGGAUUAAAUUUAUAGGUCGCAUUUUAUGUUAUGAGUCAUAGGUCAAAAAUCAUAUUUUAUAUGUCACAAUAUACACA